CCCUUAGAUGUUCUGGGCCGCACGCGCGCUACAAUGGUCUUCGCAAACGGAUGCAUUCUCGAAGGAGAAUGCCAAUCUUGGAAUCUAUGCCUUGGUCGGGACAGUUGCUUGCAAUUUUUCGACUCGAACCAGGAAUUCCUUGUAAUCGUGAUUCAUCACAUCACGAUGAAUACGUCCCUGCCCUUUGCACACACCGCCCGUCGCUCCUACCGAUCGAAGAGUUAGGUGAAUUGUUUUGAUCGAUAAGAUUUGACUAUGGUCAACUCUCGUUGUGAAAUUCUGUGAAUCUGACUGUUUAGAGGAAGGAAAAGUCGUAACA
Molecule: ribosomal RNA, 319 nt
Filed under: uncultured eukaryote
Lineage: Eukaryota
Description: partial 18S ribosomal RNA
Rfam family: Eukaryotic small subunit ribosomal RNA
Source: RNAcentral